RNAcentral lists this ribosomal RNA (460 nucleotides) under uncultured bacterium. RNAcentral's name for it is "partial 16S ribosomal RNA". It matches the Rfam family "Bacterial small subunit ribosomal RNA", at positions 338 to 795 of the family's 1533-position model. The record is from RNAcentral.
CCUACGGGAGGCAGCAGUGAGGAAUAUUGGUCAAUGGACGAGAGUCUGAACCAGCCAAGUAGCGUGAAGGAUGACUGCCCUAUGGGUUGUGAACUUCUUUUAUAAAGGAAUAAAACGAGGCACGUGUGCCUGUUUGCAUGUACUUUAUGAAUAAGGAACGGCUAAGCCCAUGCCAGCAGCCGAGGUAAUACGGAGGAUCCGAGCGUUAUCCGGAUUUAAUGGGUUUAAAGGGAGCGUAGAUGGGUUGUUAAGUCAGUUGUGAAAGUUUGCGGCUCAACCGUAAAAUUGCAAUUGAUACUGGCAGUCUUGAGUACAGUUGAGGUAGGCGGAAUUCGUGGUGUAGCGGUGAAAUGCUUAGAUAUCACGAAGAACCCCGAUUGCGAAGGCAGCUUACUAAACUGUGACUGACAUUGAUGCUCGAAAGUGUGGGUAUCAAACAGGAUUAGAUACCCCUGUAGUC